GUUGAUCCUGCGGGAGAUUGCUGCUAUGGGGAUUCGACUUAGACAUGCAAGUCUUUGAGCAAUCAAGGCAUAAGGCUCAGUAACACGUCGGUAAUCUGCCCUAUGGUCAGGGAUAACCUCGGGAAACUGAGGAUAAUACCUGAUAGGGGAAUCUACCUGGAAUGGUAUUUCUCUUAAACUCGUGCCAUAGGAUGAGCCGGCGGCGGAUUAGGCUGUUGGUGGGGUAAUGGCCCACCAAAACCGAAGAUCCGUACGGGCCAUGAGAGUGGUAGCCCGGAGAGGGACACUGAGAUACUGGUCCCAGCCCUACGGGGUGCAGCAGUUACGAAACCUCUACAAUGCACGCAAGUGUGAUAGGGGGAUCCCCAGUGCUCAUGUUCUACAUGGGCUUUUGCUGAGCGUAAAUAACUCGGCGAAUAAGUGGUGGGUAAGACUGGUGCCAGCCGCCGCGGUAACACCAGCGCCACGAGUGGCGAUCACGAUUAUUGGGCCUAAAGCGUCCGUAGCCGGCUAGGUAAAUCCAUUGUGAAAUCGGCAUGCUCAACAUGUCGGCUUGCAGUGGACACUGCCCAGCUCGAGACCGGGAGGAGUCAGAAGUAUGCCAUGGGGACCGGUAAAAUGGGAUAAUCCAUGGUGGACUACCAAUGGCGAAGGCAUCUGACCAGAACGGGUCUGACGGUGAGGGACGAAGGCUAGGGGAGCGAACCGGAUUAGAUACCCGAGUAGUCCUAGCAGUAAACGCUGCGAGCAAGGUGUUGCGCAUCCUACGAGGAUGUGCAGUGUCGAAGAGAAGUCGUUAAGCUCGCCGCCUGGGAAGUACGGUCGCAAGACUGAAACUUUAAGGAAUUGGCGGGGGAGCACCACAAGGGGUGCGGCGUGCGGUUUAAUCUAACUCAACACAGAGAACCUUACUAGAAGCGACGGCAGGAUGAAGGUCAGUCUGAAGGGCUUACCUGACGAGCCGAGAGGUAGUGCAUGGCCAUCGUCAGCUCGUGCUGUAAAGUGUCCUGUUAAGUCAGGCAACGAGCGAGACCUGUAUCCACAAUUGCCAGCAGCCUACGGGGCUGGGCACAUUGUGGAGACUGCCCCGGAAACGGGGAGGAAGGUGCAGGCUACGGUAGGUCUGUAUGCUCCGAAUCUUCUAGGCUACACGCGCGCAACAAUGGCAACGACAAUGGGCCGCGACCCCGAGAGGGGAAGCUAAUCCUCGAAACGUUGUCCUAGUCUAGAUUGGGGGUUGUAACUCACCCUCAUGACACUGGAAUCCCUAGUAAUCAGGUUUCAUCAAGGCCUGGCGAAUAUGUCCCUGCUCCUUGCACACACCGCCCGUCAAACCAACCGAGCAGGGUUUAGGUAAACUGCAUUUCUCGUGAAUGCUGUGAAUCUAAGCUCAGUGAGGUGGGUUAAGUCGUCACAAGGUA
Molecule: ribosomal RNA, 1421 nt
Filed under: metagenome
Description: bacterial SSU rRNA
Rfam family: Archaeal small subunit ribosomal RNA
Source: RNAcentral